AAUGAACGUUGGCGGCGUGGAUUAGGCAUGCAAGUCGUGCGAGAAGCUCCUGCUUGCAGGAGUGGACAGCGGCGAAAGGGAGAGUAAUACGUAGAAAUCUGCCCUCGGGCCUGGGAUAGCGUUGGGAAACUGGCGGUAAUACCGGAUAACGUCUUCGGACCAAAGGUGUGAUUCCGCCUGAGGAUGAGUCUACGACCUAUUAGCUAGUUGGCGGGGUAAUGGCCCACCAAGGCGAAGAUGGUUAGCGGGUGUGAGAGCAUGGCCCGUCUCACUGGGACUGAGAUACUGCCCAGACACCUACGGGUGGCUGCAGUCGAGAAUCUUCCGCAAUGGACGAAAGUCUGACGGAGCGACGCCGCGUGCUGGAUGAAGGCCCUCGGGUUGUAAACAGCUGUCGUAGGGGAGGAAAUUUUGACCGAUCCUAGGAGGAAGCGCAGGCUAAGUUCG
RNAcentral lists this ribosomal RNA (447 nucleotides) under uncultured Planctomycetaceae bacterium. Its description in RNAcentral is "bacterial SSU rRNA". It matches the Rfam family "Bacterial small subunit ribosomal RNA", at positions 29 to 505 of the family's 1533-position model. The record is from RNAcentral. Lineage: Bacteria; Pseudomonadati; Planctomycetota; Planctomycetia; Planctomycetales; Planctomycetaceae.